RNAcentral lists this ribosomal RNA (1468 nucleotides) under Mesomycoplasma hyopneumoniae. RNAcentral describes it as "bacterial SSU rRNA". It matches the Rfam family "Bacterial small subunit ribosomal RNA". The record is from RNAcentral. Lineage: Bacteria; Bacillati; Mycoplasmatota; Mycoplasmoidales; Metamycoplasmataceae.
CGCUAGCUGUGUGCUUAAUACAUGCAUGUUGAACGGAAUAUUUUAGUUCGCUAAAAUAUUUAGUAGCAAAUGGGUGAGUAACACGUACCUAACCUACCUUUUGGACUGGGAUAACCAUUGGAAACAGUGGCUAAUACCGGAUAUGAUAAAAAUUUGCAUGAAUUUUUAUUCAAAGGAGCCUUCAAGCUUCACCAAGAAAUGGGGGUGCGCAACAUUAGUUAGUUGGUAGGGUAAAAGCCUACCAAGACGAUGAUGUUUAGCGGGGCCAAGAGGUUGUACCGCCACACUGGGAUUGAGAUACGGCCCAGACUCCUACGGGAGGCAGCAGUAAGGAAUAUUCCACAAUAAGCGAAAGCUUGAUGGAGCGACACAGCGUGCAGGAUGAAGUCUUUCGGGAUGUAAACUGCUGUUGUAAGGGAAGAAAAAACUAGAUAGGAAAUGCUCUAGUCUUGACGGUACCUUAUUAGAAAGCGACGGCAAACUAUGUGCCAGCAGCCGCGGUAAUACAUAGGUCGCAAGCGUUAUCCGGAAUUAUUGGGCGUAAAGCGUCCGUAGGUUUUUUGUUAAGUUUAAAGUUAAAUGCUAAAGCUCAACUUUAGUCCGCUUUAGAUACUGGCAAAAUAGAAUUAUGAAGAGGUUAGCGGAAUUCCUAGUGGAGUGGUGGAAUACGUAGAUAUUAGGAAGAACACCAAUAGGCGAAGGCAGCUAACUGGUCAUAUAUUGACACUAAGGGACGAAAGCGUGGGGAGCAAACAGGAUUAGAUACCCUGGUAGUCCACGCCGUAAACGAUGAUCAUUAGUUGGUGGCAAAAGUCACUAACACAGCUAACGCGUUAAAUGAUCCGCCUGAGUAGUAUGCUCGCAAGAGUGAAACUUAAAGGAAUUGACGGGAACCCGCACAAGCGGUGGAGCAUGUGGUUUAAUUUGAUGUUACGCGUAGAACCUUACCCACUCUUGACAUUCUCGCAAAACUAUAGAGAUAUAGCCGAGGCUAACGAGAUCACAGAUGGUGCAUGGUUGUCGUCAGCUCGUGUCGUGAGAUGUUAGGUUAAGUCCUGCAACGAGCGCAACCCUUUUCUUUAGUUGCUAACAUUUAGUUGAGAACCCUAAAGAUACUGCCGGCGCAAGCCGGAGGAAGGUGGGGACGACGUCAAAUCAUCAUGCCUCUUACGAGUGGGGCAACACACGUGCUACAAUGGCUACUACAAAGAGCAGCAAAACAGUGAUGUCAAGCUAAUCUCAAAAAAGUAGUCUCAGUUCGGAUUGAAGUCUGCAACUCGACUUCAUGAAGUCGGAAUCGCUAGUAAUCGCAGGUCAGCUAUACUGCGGUGAAUACGUUCUCGGGUUUUGUACACACCGCCCGUCACACCAUGGGAGUUGGUAAUGCCCAAAGUCGGUGAGUUAACUUCGGAGACCAUUGCCUAAGGCAGGACCGAUGACUGGGGUGAAGUCGUAACAAGGUAUCCCU